Molecule: ribosomal RNA, 446 nt
Filed under: uncultured bacterium
Lineage: Bacteria
Description: partial 16S ribosomal RNA
Rfam family: Bacterial small subunit ribosomal RNA
Source: RNAcentral
UUCCAGACUCCUACGGGAGGCAGCAGUGGGGAAUAUUGCACAAUGGGGGAAACCCUGAUGCAGCGACGCCGCGUGAGCGAUGAAGUAUUUCGGUAUGUAAAGCUCUAUCAGCAGGGAAGAAAAUGACGGUACCUGACUAAGAAGCCCCGGCUAACUACGUGCCAGCAGCCGCGGUAAUACGUAGGGGGCAAGCGUUAUCCGGAUUUACUGGGUGUAAAGGGAGCGUAGACGGCUGUGCAAGCCAGAUGUGAAAGCCCGGGGCUCAACCCCGGGACUGCAUUUGGAACUGUGUGGCUGGAGUGUCGGAGAGGCAGGCGGAAUUCCUAGUGUAGCGGUGAAAUGCGUAGAUAUUAGGAGGAACACCAGUGGCGGAGGCGGCCUGCUGGACGAUGACUGACGUUGAGGCUCGAAAGCGUGGGGAGCAAACAGGAUUAGAUACCCCAGUA